ACUAUUAAAUAGCCGCAAUUCGUGCUAAGGUAGCAUAAUCAUUUGUCUUUCAAAUGAAGACUAGAACAAAAGAUUUAACAUUUAAAUAAACUUAUUUAUUUUAAACCUUAAAAUUAUCUUUAGCGUAAAAAGACUCUAAUGUUAAAAAAAGACGACAAGACCCUAUUGAACUUAACUUUAGUUAGACUGGGGCAGUAAAUCAAUUAUUAUUUUAAUUUAAAUAAAUAUUUAAACAUCCUUUACAAUUGAAUCAUCCAGUUACCAUAGGGAUAACAGCAUAAUUUUAUUCAAAAGCUCUUAUAUAAAAUAUAGAUUAUGACCUCGAUGUUGAAUUAAUAACCUAUUUUCUAAAGCAAAUUUUAAAAAAGGAAGUCUGUUCGACUUUUAAAAAAUUACAUGAUUUGAGUUCAGACCGGCAUAAGCCAGGUCGGCUUCUAUCUUUUAAUAAAACCUUUACAGUACGAAAGGACCUAAAGAUUUAAUUUCAAUUAUUAUAUUGGCAGAUAAAUGCAUUAGAAUUAGAAUCUAAUCAAUCUACAA
This 540-nucleotide ribosomal RNA is filed under the name Zenodorus swiftorum. RNAcentral describes it as "partial 16S ribosomal RNA". The stretch from base 146 to 443 matches the Rfam family "Bacterial large subunit ribosomal RNA", at positions 2074 to 2646 of the family's 2925-position model. Lineage: Eukaryota; Metazoa; Arthropoda; Arachnida; Araneae; Salticidae. The record is from RNAcentral.